This 406-nucleotide ribosomal RNA is filed under the name uncultured bacterium. RNAcentral describes it as "partial 16S ribosomal RNA". It matches the Rfam family "Bacterial small subunit ribosomal RNA", at positions 30 to 526 of the family's 1533-position model. The record is from RNAcentral.
AUUGAACGCUGGCGGCAGGCCUAACACAUGCAAGUCGAGCGAGCGGCGGACGGGUGAGUAAUGUCUGGGAAACUGCCCGAUGGAGGGGGAUAACUACUGGAAACGGUAGCUAAUACCGCAUACUAUCGGAUGUGCCCGGAUGGGAUUAGCUAGUAGGUGGGGUAACGGCUUACCAAGGCAACGAUGCCUAGCUGGCCUGAGAGGCUGACCAGCCACACUGGAACUGAGACACGGUCCAGACUCCUACGGGAGGCAGCAGUGGGGAAUAUUGCACAAUGGGCGAAAGCCUGAUGGAGCCACGCCGCGUGAGUGAUGAAGGCCUUCGGGUUGUAAAGCACUUUCAGCAGGGAGGCGUUACCCGAAGAGAAAGCCACGGCUAACUCCGUGCCAGCAGCCGCGGUAAUUC